AGGGCUCUAGGCCUGCGUGUUCAUCACCACCAAAGAUGAUAGUUUAUCUUUUCCUCUGCCCUUUUUGCCACAAAAAUGUGACUUCCUCCUCCUGCCCUGUGUUUGGUUUCAGGCCAACAUAGCCGAGGUAGAGGUCUCCAUCCCUGCCAAGCUGCACAACUCCCUCAUUGGCACCAAGGGCCGUCUGAUCCGCUCCAUCAUGGAGGAGUGCGGCGGGGUCCACAUUCACUUUCCCGUGGAAGGUUCAGGAAGCGACACCGUUGUUAUCAGGGGCCCUUCUUCGGAUGUGGAGAAGGCCAAGAAGCAGCUCCUGCAUCUGGCGGAGGAGAAGCAAACCAAGAGUUUCACUGUUGACAUCCGCGCCAAGCCAGAAUACCACAAAUUCCUCAUCGGCAAGGGGGGCGGCAAAAUCCGCAAGGUGCGCGACAGCACUGGAGCACGUGUCAUCUUCCCUGCGGCUGAGGACAAGGACCAGGACCUGAUCACCAUCAUCGGAAAGGAGGACGCCGUCCGAGAGGCACAGAAGGAGCUGGAGGCCUUGAUCCAAAACCUGGUAGGGAGCGGGCCUCGGCGGCCGACUCUGCCGGGGCCGUGAUGGGGUGGCUUAUCUUCCGUCUCUUCUUAACGCUGCAGGAUAAUGUGG
RNAcentral lists this small RNA (643 nucleotides) under Pan troglodytes (chimpanzee). Its description in RNAcentral is "retained intron". The record is from RNAcentral. Lineage: Eukaryota; Metazoa; Chordata; Mammalia; Primates; Hominidae.